GAUGAACGCUAGCGGCAGGCUUAAUACAUGCAAGUCAAGGGGGUAGCAAUACAACCGGCGCACGGGUGAGUAACGCGUACACAACAUGCCAUAUACUGGGGUAUAGCUUUGGGAAACUGAAGGUAAUCCCCCAUAACAUUGCGAGUGGGCAUCUGAUUGCAAUUAAAGUUUCGGCGGUAUAUGAUUGGUGUGCGUUUGAUUAGCUAGUUGGUAGGGUAACGGCCUACCAAGGCGACGAUCAAUAGCUGGCGUGAGAGCGCGACCAGCCACACUGGAACUGAGACACGGUCCAGACUCCUACGGGAGGCAGCAGUAGGGAAUAUUGGACAAUGGAGGAAACUCUGAUCCAGCCAUGCCGCGUGAUAGAUGAAGGCCCUCUGGGUUGUAAAUAUCUUUUAUCUGGGAAGAAACUCCUCUAUUCUUAGAGGCCUGACGGUACCAGAGGAAUAAGCACCGGCUAACUCCGUGCCAGCAGCCGCGGUAAU
This 485-nucleotide ribosomal RNA is filed under the name uncultured bacterium. Its description in RNAcentral is "bacterial SSU rRNA". It matches the Rfam family "Bacterial small subunit ribosomal RNA", at positions 28 to 524 of the family's 1533-position model. The record is from RNAcentral.